This 460-nucleotide ribosomal RNA is filed under the name uncultured bacterium. RNAcentral describes it as "partial 16S ribosomal RNA". It matches the Rfam family "Bacterial small subunit ribosomal RNA", at positions 338 to 795 of the family's 1533-position model. The record is from RNAcentral.
CCUACGGGAGGCAGCAGUGAGGAAUAUUGGUCAAUGGACGAGAGUCUGAACCAGCCAAGUCGCGUGAGGGAUGACUGCCCUAUGGGUUGUAAACUUCUUUUGUAUGGGAGUAAAAUGUUCCACGUGUGGGAUUUUGUACGUACCAGAAGAAUAAGGAUCGGCUAACUCCGUGCCAGCAGCCGCGGUAAUACGGAGGAUCCGAGCGUUAUCCGGAUUUAUUGGGUUUAAAGGGAGCGUAGGUGGAAUGUUAAGUCAGUUGUGAAAGUUGGCGGCUCAACCGCAAAACUGCAGUUGAAACUGGACGUCUUGAGUGCAGGAGAGGUAAGCGGAAUGCGUGGUGUAGCGGUGAAAUGCUUAGAUAUCACGAAGAACUCCGAUUGCGAAGGCAGCUUACUGGACUGCAACUGACGCUGAGGCUCGAAAGCGUGGGUAUCAAACAGGAUUAGAUACCCCAGUAGUC